CAGCCGCCGCGGUAACCCCAGCGCCACAAGUGGGAACCACGCUUAUUGGGUCUAAAGCAUCCGUAGCCGGUUCUGCAAAUGCCCUGUGAAAUCGUUCUGCCUAACAGAACGGCGUGCAGGGUAGACUGGCAAGCUUGGAACCAGGAAAGGUAUGCGGUAUUCUGUGGGGAACGGUAAAAUGCUAUAAUCCACAGAGGACCACCGAUGGCGAAGGCAGCAUACUUGAAUGGAUUCGACGGUGAGGGAUGAAAGCUAGGGGAGCGAUCCGGAUUAGAUACCCGAGUAGUCCUAGCCGUAAACGCUGCGUGCCAGAUGUUGCACAAUCCUCGCGAUUGUGCAGUGUCGUAACGAAGGUGUUAAGCACGCCACCUGGGAAGUACGGUCGCAAGGCUGAAACUUAAAGGAAUUGGCGGGGGGAGCACC
RNAcentral lists this ribosomal RNA (423 nucleotides) under uncultured archaeon. RNAcentral describes it as "bacterial SSU rRNA". It matches the Rfam family "Archaeal small subunit ribosomal RNA", at positions 459 to 880 of the family's 1478-position model. The record is from RNAcentral.